UGAGGAAUAUUGCACAAUGGGCGCAAGCCUGAUGCAGCGACGCCGCGUGUGGGAUGAAGGGGCUACGCCUCGUAAACCACUGUAGCCCGGGACGAAAAACGCCUUAGAGGCGUUAGACGGUACCGGGAAAGUAAGGGUCGGCUAACUACGUGCCAGCAGCCGCGGUAAUACGUAGGACCCAAGCGUUGUCCGGAUUUACUGGGUGUAAGGGGUGCGCAGGCGGAUGGGUAAGUCAGGGGUGAGAGUCUGCAGCUUAACUGUAGAAUUGCCGUUGAUACUGCUCAUCUUGAGUGUGGGAGAGGUUGAUGGAAUUCCAGGUGGAGCAGUGAAAUGCGUAGAUGUCUGGAAGAACACCAGUGGCGAAGGCGGUCAACUGGCCCAUAACUGACGCUCAUGCACGAAAGCGUG
RNAcentral lists this ribosomal RNA (408 nucleotides) under uncultured bacterium. RNAcentral's name for it is "bacterial SSU rRNA". It matches the Rfam family "Bacterial small subunit ribosomal RNA", at positions 355 to 763 of the family's 1533-position model. The record is from RNAcentral.